CAGAGGUCCCGAGCGUUAGGCGGAAUCACUGGGCUUAAAGCGUGUGUAGGCGGAUUUGUAAGUACCUUGUGAAUCCCACGGCUCAACCGUGGAACUGCUUGGUAUACUGCUUAUCUUGGGCCAUCUAGGGGCUACCGGAACAAGUGGUGGAGCGGUGAAAUGCGUAGAUAUCACUUGGAACGCCAAUGGUGAAAACAGGUAGCUGGGGAUGUGCCGACGCUGAGACACGAAAGCCAGGGGGAGCGAACGGGAUUAGAUACCCCGGUAGUCCUGGCUGUAAACGAUGUCGACUAGAUCGCAGUGGCUCUGACGCUAUUGCGGUCGAAGCAAAAGUGCUAAGUCGACCGCCUGGGAAGUACGGUCGCAAGGCUA
This 372-nucleotide ribosomal RNA is filed under the name uncultured organism. RNAcentral's name for it is "bacterial SSU rRNA". It matches the Rfam family "Bacterial small subunit ribosomal RNA", at positions 526 to 896 of the family's 1533-position model. The record is from RNAcentral.